This is a long non-coding RNA of Rana temporaria (common frog), 475 nucleotides long. RefSeq lists it as uncharacterized. The transcript is spliced from 3 exons. NCBI's taxonomy places the organism in Eukaryota, Metazoa, Chordata, Amphibia, Anura, Ranidae. The record is from RefSeq and is a predicted model, not a curated record.
CACCAUCCUUUGCUGUAUAAGGUAUUGCGAUUUGUUUCAUCUUGUUCAGCAGACUAACGUCUUUAACCGACACAACUACAAUGGCAGCAAAGGGUGGACCACAAAAAACUCAAUGCAAUCCUCCAGCCCCUAUCUGCCAGGACCAAACACCCAAAUGCCCACCACCAUGCGAGCCUCCAGCUCCAAUAUGUCAGAAUCCAGCACCCGUAUGCCAAGACCCAUGCCAAAUUCAAGAUCCAUGCGCUGUGGUUGAUCCUUGCCAGACACAAGGCAAAGGAUAUGGCGGAGUCAAGAAAUGAAGGGAAUGAAGAUUAUUUCAUUUGAGUAAACCUAUCUAUUAACAAAUGAAAUGAAAUAUUACAGUUUAUCCAGCUGCUUCUCUCAGUUAUCUUAUCUAUGUGAAGUGGAAAUACUUCCAAACUCAUGUUUAAUUGUCCUAGCUGAGUGAAUAAAUGUAUUCUACUUGAUUAAUUCA